CUGCUCGCUUCGGCAGCACAUAUACUAAAAUUGGAACGAUACAAAGAAGAUUAUCAUGGCCCCUGUGCAAGGAUGAAACACAAAUUUGUGAAGUGUUCCAUAUUUUU
This 107-nucleotide small nuclear RNA is filed under the name Meriones unguiculatus (Mongolian gerbil). The record is from RNAcentral. Lineage: Eukaryota; Metazoa; Chordata; Mammalia; Rodentia; Muridae.